Molecule: long non-coding RNA, 473 nt
Filed under: Olea europaea subsp. europaea
Lineage: Eukaryota; Viridiplantae; Streptophyta; Magnoliopsida; Lamiales; Oleaceae
Source: RNAcentral
CUGAAGAUUAUAUACCAGUGGUACUAGAAUUCAAUUAAAUUUAAAUGCAGCAUAACAGUUCUGCAGCCAAAAAUACAUCGUUCAUAUCAGUUCGUUUCAUUACUGCAUUCAAAAACUACCAAGAACAGAUUUCGCAUAAGGUAGCAACCAAAUCUACCUAAAAAAAAAAAAAAAAAGAAAACUCAAAAAGAUUUCUACAUAAUAACCAACUAGACAAUGCUGCCUCAUCACUAAACAUAUAUGAAUAGUACUACGCCAGACAUUCUUCAAAUUACUUAUCUUUCUCUUCCUCCUCGCACUACGUGGGAUGGGACGAGGUCAAAAUCUGUCUCGUAACCUCAUUUUAUCUUCUCACACGUAUGCUUAUAAAGAUGGACUGCCAAUUGCGACUCCAAACUAUUAGGAUCAACAUUCUUCGACAUCAUACUUAUCUUUUGAUGCAUAACGAACUCCGUAUACUUAGGAAUGACAAU